This 349-nucleotide long non-coding RNA is filed under the name Callithrix jacchus (white-tufted-ear marmoset). RNAcentral's name for it is "lncRNA (ENSCJAG00000070918.1)". The record is from RNAcentral. Lineage: Eukaryota; Metazoa; Chordata; Mammalia; Primates; Cebidae.
AGGCUCUGUUUUACACCAAAAAAGCUCUUCUGGGCACCGAGGCAGGCACCGUGGGUUCCCUGCUGCCAGAAUUAAUUCGGCUGGAGAGUGUACCGCACAGCCAGAGUCUGCAGCGAGGUUCCCGUGAAGAAAAAGUACGGUCAGCAGCUUCCUGAUUGUGAUUUACCAAGAAGCGGCACAGUCUCUGCAGGAAAUAUGUCAGCUGCCCCAUUGUCCUCUUAUUUAAAGUAGGACAGACACCAAGCUUGAGAAUACUUGAAUAGGAGGACUCAGAAGCAGAAAAUGAGAGCAACCAAGUCAGUCUCAAUCAUGACUCACAAGCUCCAACUUCACUUAUGGAGUCAUCCAG